Roseburia sp. CAG:50 is the source of this 164-nucleotide small RNA. It matches the Rfam family "Clostridiales-1 RNA". The record is from Rfam. Lineage: Bacteria; Bacillati; Bacillota; Clostridia; Lachnospirales; Lachnospiraceae.
UGUUUACAGUGUCGAAAUCCUAAAAGCAUGUCAUGCUUGCAUGUAAAUGCUUUACAGGAUUAGCGACACGCCCCUCCAAUGAGAAAAAAAGCAGGACAGAGUCAUGCGAUUUUCGAAUGGAGGGAGGAUUGUGGGAGCUGGAACAGCGGAACAAUCCGUAAACA